Long non-coding RNA from Musa acuminata AAA Group (dessert banana), 355 nucleotides. RefSeq lists it as uncharacterized. The transcript has 3 exons. The record is from RefSeq and is a predicted model, not a curated record. Lineage: Eukaryota; Viridiplantae; Streptophyta; Magnoliopsida; Zingiberales; Musaceae.
UAGUCGUCCCCCUCCUGCUCCUAGCCUUAGCAUGCCAAUAGGGACCAUUCUUGUAGGCGUUGGGUUCGUAACAAGGAGCUCUUCCAAUACUCUGAAGCUUCCAACCCCCUGAUAGCAGACGCUUUGGCAAUGCUGGAAGAUGAUGGUAAGCUAAGGUCUGAGAGAUGUUGAAGGAGAGAAGACGGGCCGAAACAAGCUUUGUGCAGCAUUCUGGACUCAACAAAGUGAGACAUUUGGCUGCUUGAUUGCUUGUGCUUAUAUGUAAGCAUGAUGUCUUCAAAGGAAGUGAUUACAAGAGAUUGUUUCCUCGACAAUUUAAGGAUGGGAAACAAAAAAUGGAGGCAGCCAAAGUCAU